UACGUAGGGGGCAAGCGUUGUCCGGAAUCAUUGGGCGUAAAGAGCGUGUAGGCGGCCCGGUAAGUCCGCUGUGAAAGUCCAGGGCUCAACCCUGGGAUGCCGGUGGAUACUGUCGGGCUCGAGUCCGGAAGAGGAGUGUGGAAUUCCUGGUGUAGCGGUGAAAUGCGCAGAUAUCAGGAGGAACACCAAUGGCGAAGGCAGCACUCUGGGACGUGACUGACGCUGAGACGCGAAAGCGUGGGGAUCAAACAGG
RNAcentral lists this ribosomal RNA (253 nucleotides) under uncultured bacterium. Its description in RNAcentral is "partial 16S ribosomal RNA". It matches the Rfam family "Bacterial small subunit ribosomal RNA", at positions 524 to 776 of the family's 1533-position model. The record is from RNAcentral.